AGUUGGUGGAGCGAUUUGUCUGGUUAAUUCCGAUAACGAACGAGACUCUAGCCUGCUAAAUAGUUCGUCGGUCCCGAUGUGCCGGCGUCAACUUCUUAGAGGGACAAGCGGCGUUUAGCCGCACGAGAUUGAGCAAUAACAGG
RNAcentral lists this ribosomal RNA (143 nucleotides) under Metazoa environmental sample. RNAcentral describes it as "partial small subunit ribosomal RNA". It matches the Rfam family "Eukaryotic small subunit ribosomal RNA", at positions 1296 to 1460 of the family's 1831-position model. Lineage: Eukaryota; Metazoa. The record is from RNAcentral.